GAAAUAUUAUGUUUAAAGAAAAGCUGCUAACUUUAUCUUUUAAUGGUUAAAUUCCAUUUAUAUUUCU
RNAcentral lists this transfer RNA (67 nucleotides) under Nemorilla maculosa. Its description in RNAcentral is "tRNA-Ser". The record is from RNAcentral. Lineage: Eukaryota; Metazoa; Arthropoda; Insecta; Diptera; Tachinidae.